This 373-nucleotide ribosomal RNA is filed under the name uncultured organism. RNAcentral describes it as "partial 16S ribosomal RNA". It matches the Rfam family "Bacterial small subunit ribosomal RNA", at positions 527 to 896 of the family's 1533-position model. The record is from RNAcentral.
GUAGGGGGCAAGCGUUUGUCCGGAAUUAUUGGGCGUAAAGCGCGCGCAGGCGGUCUCUUAAGUCUGAUGUGAAAGCCCACGGCUCAACCGUGGAGGGUCAUUGGAAACUGGGAGACUUGAGUGUAGGAGAGGAAAGUGGAAUUCCACGUGUAGCGGUGAAAUGCGUAGAUAUGUGGAGGAACACCAGUGGCGAAGGCGACUUUCUGGCCUACAACUGACGCUGAGGCGCGAAAGCGUGGGGAGCAAACAGGGAUUAGAUACCCUGGUAGUCCACGCUGUAAACGAUGAGUGCUAGGUGUUAGGGGUUUCGAUGCCCUUAGUGCCGAAGUUAACACAUUAAGCACUCCGCCUGGGGAGUACGGCCGCAAGGCUG